AAAUUGAAGAGUUUGAUCAUGGCUCAGAUUGAACGCUGGCGGCAGGCCUAACACAUGCAAGUCGAGCGGUAGCACAGAGAGCUUGCUCUCGGGUGACGAGCGGCGGACGGGUGAGUAAUGUCUGGGAAACUGCCUGAUGGAGGGGGAUAACUACUGGAAACGGUAGCUAAUACCGCAUAAUGUCGCAAGACCAAAGUGGGGGACCUUCGGGCCUCAUGCCAUCAGAUGUGCCCAGAUGGGAUUAGCUAGUAGGUGGGGUAACGGCUCACCUAGGCGACGAUCCCUAGCUGGUCUGAGAGGAUGACCAGCCACACUGGAACUGAGACACGGUCCAGACUCCUACGGGAGGCAGCAGUGGGGAAUAUUGCACAAUGGGCGCAAGCCUGAUGCAGCCAUGCCGCGUGUGUGAAGAAGGCCUUCGGGUUGUAAAGCACUUUCAGCGGGGAGGAAGGCGAUAAGGUUAAUAACCUCAUCGAUUGACGUUACCCGCAGAAGAAGCACCGGCUAACUCCGUGCCAGCAGCCGCGGUAAUACGGAGGGUGCAAGCGUUAAUCGGAAUUACUGGGCGUAAAGCGCACGCAGGCGGUCUGUCAAGUCGGAUGUGAAAUCCCCGGGCUCAACCUGGGAACUGCAUUCGAAACUGGCAGGCUAGAGUCUUGUAGAGGGGGGUAGAAUUCCAGGUGUAGCGGUGAAAUGCGUAGAGAUCUGGAGGAAUACCGGUGGCGAAGGCGGCCCCCUGGACAAAGACUGACGCUCAGGUGCGAAAGCGUGGGGAGCAAACAGGAUUAGAUACCCUGGUAGUCCACGCCGUAAACGAUGUCGAUUUGGAGGUUGUGCCCUUGAGGCGUGGCUUCCGGAGCUAACGCGUUAAAUCGACCGCCUGGGGAGUACGGCCGCAAGGUUAAAACUCAAAUGAAUUGACGGGGGCCCGCACAAGCGGUGGAGCAUGUGGUUUAAUUCGAUGCAACGCGAAGAACCUUACCUGGUCUUGACAUCCACAGAACUUUCCAGAGAUGGAUUGGUGCCUUCGGGAACUGUGAGACAGGUGCUGCAUGGCUGUCGUCAGCUCGUGUUGUGAAAUGUUGGGUUAAGUCCCGCAACGAGCGCAACCCUUAUCCUUUGUUGCCAGCGGUCCGGCCGGGAACUCAAAGGAGACUGCCAGUGAUAAACUGGAGGAAGGUGGGGAUGACGUCAAGUCAUCAUGGCCCUUACGACCAGGGCUACACACGUGCUACAAUGGCAUAUACAAAGAGAAGCGACCUCGCGAGAGCAAGCGGACCUCAUAAAGUAUGUCGUAGUCCGGAUUGGAGUCUGCAACUCGACUCCAUGAAGUCGGAAUCGCUAGUAAUCGUAGAUCAGAAUGCUACGGUGAAUACGUUCCCGGGCCUUGUACACACCGCCCGUCACACCAUGGGAGUGGGUUGCAAAAGAAGUAGGUAGCUUAACCUUCGGGAGGGCGCUUACCACUUUGUGAUUCAUGACUGGGGUGAAGUCGUAACAAGGUAACCGUAGGGGAACCUGCGGUUGGAUCACCUCCUUACCUUAAAGAA
RNAcentral lists this ribosomal RNA (1550 nucleotides) under Klebsiella pneumoniae. RNAcentral describes it as "bacterial SSU rRNA". It matches the Rfam family "Bacterial small subunit ribosomal RNA". The record is from RNAcentral. Lineage: Bacteria; Pseudomonadati; Pseudomonadota; Gammaproteobacteria; Enterobacterales; Enterobacteriaceae.